This 48-nucleotide non-coding RNA is filed under the name unclassified sequences. RNAcentral's name for it is "chromate-resist RNA". It matches the Rfam family "chrB-b RNA". The record is from RNAcentral.
UCGGGACGAAGCAGGCUCCCGUCAGACGGUCCACCGUCCAAGCUCUGC